GUGUUUUCCAUAUUCCAAGUGCUUAAAUCUAACAUUGCUUCCCAGGAGAGGACCUUGACUCCUACUUUACUAGACAAGCAAAUUAGAAUUCAUUUGCCAAAUUCUCUCAUGUUUCUUCUCUAUAUUAAAAUGUCUGCAUCCACACUAUGUCCAAUUUUCUUAUUUUAACAAAGAGCUGGUUUAUGAAUCAUUUUAAAUUUUUUACGUAGACCUACAAGUUUCUUCCUUGUUUAAAAACUUCCUUUUAAGGGCUAACUAGCCUCUGCUAAAGCCACCUUCAACAGCUGAGCUUUCUUCCUUUCUUCCCCAUCUCCGCCUUCUUCCUCACCCUUUCUAUUCAGUCCAUUUCUGACCAACAGAUUUUUAAAUCAGAAACUGUAAAGAAUCUGUUACCCUACCGAAAUUUAACAGGGAGGCCUCUCACUAUUUUAUAAACACAUAC
This 442-nucleotide long non-coding RNA is filed under the name Marmota monax (woodchuck). The record is from RNAcentral. Lineage: Eukaryota; Metazoa; Chordata; Mammalia; Rodentia; Sciuridae.